RNAcentral lists this non-coding RNA (28 nucleotides) under Rattus norvegicus (Norway rat). The record is from RNAcentral. Lineage: Eukaryota; Metazoa; Chordata; Mammalia; Rodentia; Muridae.
UCUAAAGAUGGCUGCCAUGAACAAUAAG